CCUACGGGGGGCAGCAGUGGGGGAUAUUGCACAAUGGCGGGAACCCUGAUGCAGCGACGCCGCGUGGGUGAAGGAGUGCUUCGGCAUGUAAAGCCCUAUCGGCAGGGAAGUAACAAGACGGUACCUGACUAAGAAGCCUCGGCUAACUACGUGCCAGCAGCCGAGGUACUACGGAGGGGGCGAGCGUUAUCCGGGUUCACUGGGUGUAAAGGGAGCGUAGACGGCCAUGCAAUCCAGGGGUGAAAGUCCGGGGCACAACCCCGGGACUGCCCUUGAAACUGCAUGGCUGGAGUGCGGGUGGGGCAGGCGGAAUGCCUGGUGUAGCGGUGAAAUGCGUAGAUAUCAGGAGGAACACCGGCGGCGAAGGCGGCCUGCUGGACCGCGACUGACGUUGAGGCUCGAAAGCGUGGGGAGCGAACAGGAUUAGAUACCCGAGUAGUC
Molecule: ribosomal RNA, 441 nt
Filed under: uncultured bacterium
Lineage: Bacteria
Description: partial 16S ribosomal RNA
Rfam family: Bacterial small subunit ribosomal RNA
Source: RNAcentral